GGACUACAAGGGUUUCUAAUCCCGUUUGCUCCCCUAGCUUUCGCGCCUCAGCGUCAGUAUUGGGCCAGAUGAGCGCUUUCGCCACCGGUGUUCCUCCUGAUAUCUACGCAUUUCACCGCUACACCAGGAAUUCCCUCAUCCUCUCCCAUACUCAAGCCAAGCAGUUUGGGAUGCAGGUCCUCGGGUAAGCCGAGGCGUUUCACAUUCCACUUACUUGACCGCCUACACGCCCUUUACGCCCAGUAAUUCCGAACAACGCUUGCUCCCCCCGUGUUACCGCGGCUGCUGGCAC
RNAcentral lists this ribosomal RNA (292 nucleotides) under uncultured bacterium. RNAcentral's name for it is "partial 16S ribosomal RNA". The record is from RNAcentral.